Molecule: ribosomal RNA, 488 nt
Filed under: uncultured bacterium
Lineage: Bacteria
Description: bacterial SSU rRNA
Rfam family: Bacterial small subunit ribosomal RNA
Source: RNAcentral
CUACGUGCCAGCAGCCGCGGUAAUACGUAGGUCCCGAGCGUUGUCCGGAUUUAUUGGGCGUAAAGCGAGCGCAGGCGGUUAGAUAAGUCUGAAGUUAAAGGCUGUGGCUUAACCAUAGUACGCUUUGGAAACUGUUUAACUUGAGUGCAAGAGGGGAGAGUGGAAUUCCAUGUGUAGCGGUGAAAUGCGUAGAUAUAUGGAGGAACACCGGUGGCGAAAGCGGCUCUCUGGCUUGUAACUGACGCUGAGGCUCGAAAGCGUGGGGAGCAAACAGGAUUAGAUACCCUGGUAGUCCACGCCGUAAACGAUGAGUGCUAGGUGUUAGACCCUUUCCGGGGUUUAGUGCCGCAGCUAACGCAUUAAGCACUCCGCCUGGGGAGUACGACCGCAAGGUUGAAACUCAAAGGAAUUGACGGGGGCCCGCACAAGCGGUGGAGCAUGUGGUUUAAUUCGAUGGUACGCGAGGAACCUUACCUGGGUUUGACAUC